RNAcentral lists this ribosomal RNA (501 nucleotides) under uncultured bacterium. RNAcentral describes it as "partial 16S ribosomal RNA". It matches the Rfam family "Bacterial small subunit ribosomal RNA", at positions 29 to 523 of the family's 1533-position model. The record is from RNAcentral.
AGCGAACGCUGGCGGCAGGCUUAACACAUGCAAGUCGAGCGGGGGAAGGUAGCUUGCUACUGGACCUAGCGGCGGACGGGUGAGUAAUGCUUAGGAAUCUGCCUAUUAGUGGGGGACAACAUCUCGAAAGGGAUGCUAAUACCGCAUACGUCCUACGGGAGAAAGCAGGGGAUCUUCGGACCUUGCGCUAAUAGAUGAGCCUAAGUCGGAUUAGCUAGUUGGUGGGGUAAAGGCCUACCAAGGCGACGAUCUGUAGCGGGUCUGAGAGGAUGAGCCGCCACACUGGGACUGAGACACGGCCCAGACUCCUACGGGAGGCAGCAGUGGGGAAUAUUGGACAAUGGGGGGAACCCUGAUCCAGCCAUGCCGCGUGUGUGAAGAAGGCCUUAUGGUUGUAAAGCACUUUAAGCGAGGAGGAGGCUACUUUAGUUAAUACCUAGAGAUAGUGGACGUUACUCGCAGAAUAAGCACCGGCUAACUCUGUGCCAGCCGCCGCGGUAA